GGGUUGUGAGGUUAAGCGACUAAGCGUACACGGUGGAUGCCCUGGCAGUCAGAGGCGAUGAAGGACGUGCUAAUCUGCGAUAAGCGUCGGUGAGGUGAUAUGAACCGUUAUAACCGGCGAUUUCCGAAUGGGGAAACCCAGUGUGUUUCGACACACUAUCAUUAACUGAAUCCAUAGGUUAAUGAGGCGAACCGGGGGAACUGAAACAUCUAAGUACCCCGAGGAAAAGAAAUCAACCGAGAUUCCCCCAGUAGCGGCGAGCGAACGGGGAGGAGCCCAGAGCCUGAAUCAGUGUGUGUGUUAGUGGAAGCGUCUGGAAAGGCGCGCGAUACAGGGUGACAGCCCCGUACACAAAAAUGCACAUACUGUGAGCUCGAUGAGUAGGGCGGGACACGUGGUAUCCUGUCUGAAUAUGGGGGGACCAUCCUCCAAGGCUAAAUACUCCUGACUGACCGAUAGUGAACCAGUACCGUGAGGGAAAGGCGAAAAGAACCCCGGCGAGGGGAGUGAAAAAAGAACCUGAAACCGUGUACGUACAAGCAGUGGGAGCCUCUUAAUGGGGUGACUGCGUACCUUUUGUAUAAUGGGUCAGCGACUUAUAUUCUGUAGCAAGGUUAACCGAAUAGGGGAGCCGAAGGGAAACCGAGUCUUAACUGGGCGUUAAGUUGCAGGGUAUAGACCCGAAACCCGGUGAUCUAGCCAUGGGCAGGUUGAAGGUUGGGUAACACUAACUGGAGGACCGAACCGACUAAUGUUGAAAAAUUAGCGGAUGACUUGUGGCUGGGGGUGAAAGGCCAAUCAAACCGGGAGAUAGCUGGUUCUCCCCGAAAGCUAUUUAGGUAGCGCCUCGUGAAUUCAUCUCCGGGGGUAGAGCACUGUUUCGGCAAGGGGGUCAUCCCGACUUACCAACCCGAUGCAAACUGCGAAUACCGGAGAAUGUUAUCACGGGAGACACACGGCGGGUGCUAACGUCCGUCGUGAAGAGGGAAACAACCCAGACCGCCAGCUAAGGUCCCAAAGUCAUGGUUAAGUGGGAAACGAUGUGGGAAGGCCCAGACAGCCAGGAUGUUGGCUUAGAAGCAGCCAUCAUUUAAAGAAAGCGUAAUAGCUCACUGGUCGAGUCGGCCUGCGCGGAAGAUGUAACGGGGCUAAACCAUGCACCGAAGCUGCGGCAGCGACGCUUAUGCGUUGUUGGGUAGGGGAGCGUUCUGUAAGCCUGUGAAGGUGGCCUGUGAGGGUUGCUGGAGGUAUCAGAAGUGCGAAUGCUGACAUAAGUAACGAUAAAGCGGGUGAAAAGCCCGCUCGCCGGAAGACCAAGGGUUCCUGUCCAACGUUAAUCGGGGCAGGGUGAGUCGACUCCUAAGGCGAGGCCGAAAGGCGUAGUCGAUGGGAAACAGGUUAAUAUUCCUGUACUUGGUGUUACUGCGAAGGGGGGGACGGAGAAGGCUAUGUUGGCCGGGCGACGGUUGUCCCGGUUUAAGCGUGUAGGCUGGUUUUCCAGGCAAAUCCGGAAAACCAAGGCUGAGGCGUGAUGACGAGGCACUACGGUGCUGAAGUGACAAAUGCCCUGCUUCCAGGAAAAGCCUCUAAGCAUCAGGUAACAUCAAAUCGUACCCCAAACCGACACAGGUGGUCAGGUAGAGAAUACCAAGGCGCUUGAGAGAACUCGGGUGAAGGAACUAGGCAAAAUGGUGCCGUAACUUCGGGAGAAGGCACGCUGAUAUGUAGGUGAAGCGACUUGCUCGUGGAGCUGAAAUCAGUCGAAGAUACCAGCUGGCUGCAACUGUUUAUUAAAAACACAGCACUGUGCAAACACGAAAGUGGACGUAUACGGUGUGACGCCUGCCCGGUGCCGGAAGGUUAAUUGAUGGGGUUAGCGGUAACGCGAAGCUCUUGAUCGAAGCCCCGGUAAACGGCGGCCGUAACUAUAACGGUCCUAAGGUAGCGAAAUUCCUUGUCGGGUAAGUUCCGACCUGCACGAAUGGCGUAAUGAUGGCCAGGCUGUCUCCACCCGAGACUCAGUGAAAUUGAACUCGCUGUGAAGAUGCAGUGUACCCGCGGCAAGACGGAAAGACCCCGUGAACCUUUACUAUAGCUUGACACUGAACAUUGAGCCUUGAUGUGUAGGAUAGGUGGGAGGCUUUGAAGUGUGGACGCCAGUCUGCAUGGAGCCGACCUUGAAAUACCACCCUUUAAUGUUUGAUGUUCUAACGUUGGCCCGUAAUCCGGGUUGCGGACAGUGUCUGGUGGGUAGUUUGACUGGGGCGGUCUCCUCCUAAAGAGUAACGGAGGAGCACGAAGGUUGGCUAAUCCUGGUCGGACAUCAGGAGGUUAGUGCAAUGGCAUAAGCCAGCUUGACUGCGAGCGUGACGGCGCGAGCAGGUGCGAAAGCAGGUCAUAGUGAUCCGGUGGUUCUGAAUGGAAGGGCCAUCGCUCAACGGAUAAAAGGUACUCCGGGGAUAACAGGCUGAUACCGCCCAAGAGUUCAUAUCGACGGCGGUGUUUGGCACCUCGAUGUCGGCUCAUCACAUCUGGGGCUGAAGUAGGUCCCAAGGGUAUGGCUGUUCGCCAUUUAAAGUGGUACGCGAGCUGGGUUUAGAACGUCGUGAGACAGUUCGGUCCCUAUCUGCCGUGGGCGCUGGAGAACUGAGGGGGGCUGCUCCUAGUACGAGAGGACCGGAGUGGACGCAUCACUGGUGUUCGGGUUGUCAUGCCAAUGGCACUGCCCGGUAGCUAAAUGCGGAAGAGAUAAGUGCUGAAAGCAUCUAAGCACGAAACUUGCCCCGAGAUGAGUUCUCCCUGAGACUUAGAGUCUCCUGAAGGAACGUUGAAGACGACGACGUUGAUAGGCCGGGUGUGUAAGCGCAGCGAUGCGUUGAGCUAACCGGUACUAAUGAACCGUGAGGCUUAACCUUACAACGCCGAAG
This 2927-nucleotide ribosomal RNA is filed under the name Escherichia coli. RNAcentral describes it as "23S ribosomal RNA". It matches the Rfam family "Bacterial large subunit ribosomal RNA". Lineage: Bacteria; Pseudomonadati; Pseudomonadota; Gammaproteobacteria; Enterobacterales; Enterobacteriaceae. The record is from RNAcentral.